UGCAGUUUUUGAUGCCAGUUGGAAGAGAUAAGCCCACAAGCGCUAUUAAUAAAAGUUCUAAAAGCAGAGUUCAUCAAACAAAAGAUUCUAGCCAGAAGACCUUCAAUAUUCAGCAUACUGCGACUACCGAAACGCAGAGGUGACGUAUGGAGCGAAUUCCAUAUGGCACUUACACACGCAAACCUGUUAUAAAGACAUAAAUAUCGGCACCAAGAGCUACCUAUCAAAACGCACAUUAAAUUAGGUCGGUGGGUAAUAGAAUCGAAAUAAUAGUUACCCUCAGCCGUAAACGGCUUUAUAGCACCUUUUUAACAUAAAUUACUGCUAAAUAAAACACAAGCGAA
Cydia splendana is the source of this 344-nucleotide long non-coding RNA. RefSeq lists it as uncharacterized. The transcript is spliced from 2 exons. The record is from RefSeq and is a predicted model, not a curated record. NCBI's taxonomy places the organism in Eukaryota, Metazoa, Arthropoda, Insecta, Lepidoptera, Tortricidae.